GAUGAACGCUGGCGGCGUGCCUAAUACAUGCAAGUCGAGCGAACGGACGAUAAGCUUGCUUCUCUGAUGUUAGCGGCGGACGGGUGAGUAACACGUGGAUAACCUACCUAUAAGACUGGGAUAACUUCGGGAAACCGGAGCUAAUACCGGAUAAUAUUUUGAACCGCAUGGUUCAAAAGUGAAAGACGGUCUUGCUGUCACUUAUAGAUGGAUCCGCGCUGCAUUAGCUAGUUGGUAAGGUAACGGCUUACCAAGGCAACGAUGCAUAGCCGACCUGAGAGGGUGAUCGGCCACACUGGAACUGAGACACGGUCCAGACUCCUACGGGAGGCAGCAGUAGGGAAUCUUCCGCAAUGGGCGAAAGCCUGACGGAGCAACGCCGCGUGAGUGAUGAAGGUCUUCGGAUCGUAAAGCUCUGUUAUUAGGGAAGAACAUAUGUGUAAGUAACUGUGCACAUCUUGACGGUACCUAAUCAGAAAGCCACGGCUAACUACGUG
Molecule: ribosomal RNA, 497 nt
Filed under: uncultured bacterium
Lineage: Bacteria
Description: partial 16S ribosomal RNA
Rfam family: Bacterial small subunit ribosomal RNA
Source: RNAcentral